GGCUGUGCUCCAGAGCAUUCAUGGGGGUGUGGGGACUGGACACUUUGGGGUCACAAAAACCCUCCGCCGCCUCUGUCAGGGCUUUUACUGGGGGCAGCACAAGAGGGAUGUGGAGGACUUUUGCCGCCGAUGUGACAAAUGCACAGCGGCGGCAAAAGCCCUCUAGGCCGUACUCAUGCUCAGCAGGAGGUGGAGUUUUGGACAGCGGAGCGGCAUGCCAUGAGGACCUUGGGCGGGUGCUUGUCCCAGUCACGCUGGUGUUUGGCAGAGACGAUGGCCAGCUGCUGUCCAAGCAUUUUGUUGAAGGGAGUGGAAAGACCGCUGGGUGCUCAUGGCCAUUGACUAUUUCACAAAAUGGCCCGAAGCCAAUGCUCUGCCUGACCAGGAGGCAGAGACCAUUGUCAACAACCUUGACAGCGGGGAUGUUCAGCAGGUUUGGAGCUGCGGAGUCCAUCCACAGUGACCAAGGAAGAGUCUUGUGUGUUCAGAUUUUAUUAGACACAUGCACCGAAUACAACAGGUGUAGACCUCACAGUGAAAUGCUUCCUUUGAGCCCCCAACCAACAAUGCAGUUUAAAAAAAUACGGAUAAGAAUAAGAGAUAAAAGUAACAAGUAAUUAAAGAGCAACAGUAAAACAACAAUAGCAAGACUAUAUACAGGGGGUACCGGUACAGAGUCAAUGUGCGGAGGCACCGGUUAUUUGAGGUAAUAUGUACAUCUAGGUAGAGUUAUUGAAGUAACUAUGCAUAGAUGACAACAACAGAGAGUAGCGGCAGUGUAAAGAGGGGGAGGGGGGGAAUGCAAUAGUCCAUUUGAUUAGAUGUUCAGGAGUCUUAUGGCUUGGGGGUAGAAGCUGUUUAGAAGCCUCUUGAACCUAGACUUGGCGCUCCGGUACCGCUUGCCGUGCGAUAGCAGAGAGAACAGUCUAUGACUAGGGUGACUGGAGUCUUCUGACAAUUUUUAGGGCCUUCCUCGGACACCGCUUGGUAGAGGUCCUGGAUGGCAGGAAGCUUCGCCCCAGUGAUGUACUGGGCCGUACGCACUACCCUCUGUAUCGCCUUGCGGUCAGAGGCCGAGCAGUUGCCAUAACAGGCAGUGAUGCAACCAGUCAGGAUGCUCUCGAUGGUGCAGCUGUAGAACCUUUUGAGGAUCUGAGGACCCAUGCCAAAUCUUUUCUGUCUCCUGAGGGGGAAUAGGCUUUGUCGUGCCCUCUUCACGACUGUCUUGGUGUGUUUGGACCAUUCUAGUUUUCCUAGCCACCGUGCUUCUACACCUGCAUUGCUUGCUGUUUGGGGUUUUAGGCAGGGUUUCUGUACAGCACUUUGAGAUAUCAGCUGAUGUAAGAAGGGCUAUAUAAAUACAUUUGAUUUGAUUUAGUUUGUUGUUGAUGUGGACACCAAGGAACUUGAAGCUCUCAACAUGCUCCACUACAGCCCAGUCGAUGAGAAUAGGGGCGUGCAAGCUAAUAACGUUAGUAUUUUGGACAACCAAAGUCAAAAUGAUUGAUGAAAUCGAAGUGUGUCAGCUAUAUGGUGAUUUGCGACUCAUUACUUCCAUUUUACCGAUACUGCCAGUAGUAGUAGGCCAACCGAUAACACCAAGACUGAAUGAGUUUGAAGUGGAUGCGCUGCCGAGAACAGCUAGCAUGUCCAGCAAUGUACAUCGCCAGUGGCACACACACACUUCAUGCAGAUCAGCAGCUCUACAAUGAUGUGAUCGACUGUCUCCCAGGUGGGGGCUUUUCGUGGCAGCCAGACGAGACAAUAGAAGGAGGAUGUGGUGAGCAAAGUUACCAGGGGCAGAGCCAGAGGGGUGUCCGGGGUGACACAGACAUCUGACGUGCCACACCGACAUUUCAUUCGCUACUGGCAGGUUGAUGCUGAUUGACAUCUUAUUUCACCUCUUAUUGAAAGAAGCAUUUAUUUUGACGUUUGGCGGCGCAUUUUUGAAAUCGAGGACGAGGAAGAGAGAAUAUUAACGUUAGCUGCGAGAUACAGAAAAAUAAAAAGAACAUACAGAAGAGAGAAUAUUUCCACAGCUCCACAAGCUCUUUUUACGAUUGGCGAAAGCAUCAUAUUUGAAAUGUAUCAAGGGAUGACACAGAGACCUCUGAGCAAGACAGUGAGCCAGAGCUGCCAGGAGAUGUCAUCGACCCCCUUCCAACUGCAUCAAGCACCAGAUAUGCUGUUCCAAAAGGACCCAAUGACAUUUCAAGAUCCAGAGAAGAGGGUCCUGUACAGCCGUGUUUGAAAACAUUUCCCAGAACUCAGCAUGGUACUAGGAAAGGGGCUUUCAACAGCUCCUGGUUUAAGGACAAUUCAUGGCUUGAAAAUUCUCUCUCUGGUAUAUGGACCCCCCAUCUACAGAUGUUCAAAGAGAGAAUCUUAGCCAUACCAGACAGAUUCCUGAAAUUACCACAAGGCUGUGGAUCCUACAACAGAUACCAGGAAACACGACACAAUGCACCAAAACUAAGUUAAGAUCAGCGUCGGGAUCAUUGCAGUCAGCUCUCUAUCUCAAUAUCCCAGCCCUGGGCACACCGGAAUCACUUCACAGAUCUCAGAGAAGAUGUGGUGCGUCUAACAGAGUCCAUAGCAACUGAUGCAUCCCACUUGGAGAAGGUGAAUCAAGCAAUGACCAGACGUCACCAACAGCCCACUCCACCACCUACACCAGAGUCAGAUUUUUUUAUGCUACACUGUGAGAGCAUCAUGCGGACCGGUCAGACCCCAGUACAGCACUCUGUUACAAGCUUUGGAGAAAGUGCCCCAAUACCUCCCCCUCUUUCUACUGGACUUUUCUCCUGAAGAUAGAUUCCAGAGAAGGAAAUGGAUUGAAAACUUGAAACUUCCAUUGACUUUCACUUUGUACAAGUAUGCCUGUGGUAACUACCUAGGCACUCUGACAUUCAUAUGGAAGGUAACCUCACAUGGCACUGGUGUUCAUGAGACCAGGCUUCUGUCAUCUCCACCCUGAGAAAAUAAAUACCAACAUACCUCACUAGAGCAAUGCAAAAAGCAUUCCUGUACAAAUACGCACAUGCUGCCAAAGUGAACAGCUACUUCCUGUCACGUGUGCUCUCUGGCUUCUAGGUUAUGGUGCACAACUGUCACCAUCGUUACGUGCACCUGCGUGUCAUCAGACUCACCUGGACUCCAUCAUCUCCCUGAUUACCUUCCCUUUAUAUGUCACUCCCUUUGGUUCCUUCCCCAGGUGUCAUUGUUUCUGUUCCAGCUUCAUGUCUGCGUUGUUCAUGUUUCUUGUUUUGUAUUAUGUUUAGUUUUUCUAUAAAAUUAUUCAUUUCCUGAACUUGCUUCCCGACUCCCAGCGCACAUCGUUAGCAUCAGGGACUUAAAAAAAAAAAUGUUGGGGUGUCAGAACCGGAGCUACGUGGGAGGCUUCAGCCGGUUUGUCGAAUUCCCAUUCCUCGGCGGGUUCCCCUGCCUUAGCUGGCUUGACGGGUUUCCAUACCUCAGCGGGCUCGAUAGGCUCCCAUGCCUCGACCGAGGCAACUGGUGAGGUCUCAGCCAACUCAUCAGGCUCUCACGUCUCAGCCGGUUCGUCAGGUUCCUGCGCCUCAGCGGAGGCGACCGGUCCGCUCCUGAUCCCUGGGAUCGUCAUUUUGGUUGGCAUCCUGCGGCUGGAGUCACGCGUCGGGAGGAACUACUGUCACGUGUGCUCCCUCUCCAGCUUCUAGGUUACCAGGCUGCUCGUUAUGGCGCACACCUGUCACCAUCGUUACAUGCACCUGCACGUCAUCAGACUCACCUGGACUCCAUCAUCUCCCUGAUUACCUUCCCUAUAUAUGUCACUCCCUUUGGUUCCUUCCCCAGGUGUUAUUGUUUCUGUUCCAGCUUCAUGUCUGUGCGUUG
RNAcentral lists this long non-coding RNA (3873 nucleotides) under Salmo salar (Atlantic salmon). RNAcentral's name for it is "lncRNA (ENSSSAG00000098623.1, ENSSSAG00000113591.1)". The record is from RNAcentral. Lineage: Eukaryota; Metazoa; Chordata; Actinopteri; Salmoniformes; Salmonidae.